AACGAACGCUGGCGGUAUGCCUAACACAUGCAAGUCGCACGAGAAAGUACUUCGGUAUGAGUAGAGUGGCGCACGGGUGAGUAACACGUAGGUGACCUUCCGAAUAGUGGGGGAUAACUCGGAGAAAUCCGGGCUAAUACCGCAUAUGUACGACAAAUCUGAGAGUAGUCGUAGAAAGAAUGCCUCUACUUGUAAGCAUUCGCUAAUCGAUGGGCCUGCGGAGCAUUAGCUUGUUGGUGGGGUAAUGGCCUACCAAGGCUACGAUGCUUAACGGAUCUGAGAGGAUGAUCCGUCACACUGGAACUGAGACACGGUCCAGACUCCUACGGGAGGCAGCAGUGGGGAAUAUUGCGCAAUGGACGCAAGUCUGACGCAGCAAUACCGCGUGAGUGAGGAAGGCCUUCGGGUUGUAA
Molecule: ribosomal RNA, 413 nt
Filed under: uncultured bacterium
Lineage: Bacteria
Description: bacterial SSU rRNA
Rfam family: Bacterial small subunit ribosomal RNA
Source: RNAcentral